GAUGAACGCUGGCGGCGUGCCUAAUACAUGCAAGUCGAGCGAACGGACGAGAAGCUUGCUUCUCUGAUGUUAGCGGCGGACGGGUGAGUAACACGUGGAUAACCUACCUAUAAGACUGGGAUAACUUCGGGAAACCGGAGCUAAUACCGGAUAAUAUUUUGAACCGCAUGGUUCAAAAGUGAAAGACGGUCUUGCUGCCACUUAUAGAUGGAUCCGCGCUGCAUUAGCUAGUUGGUAAGGUAACGGCUUACCAAGGCAACGAUGCAUAGCCGACCUGAGAGGGUGAGCGGCCACACUGGAACUGAGACACGGUCCAGACUCCUACGGGAGGCAGCAGUAGGGAAUCUUCCGCAAUGGGCGAAAGCCUGACGGAGCAACGCCGCGUGAGUGAUGAAGGUCUUCGGAUCGUAAAACUCUGUUAUUAGGGAAGAACAUAUGUGUAAGUAACUGUGCACAUCUUGACGGUACCUAAUCAGAAAGCCACGGCUAACUACGUG
This 497-nucleotide ribosomal RNA is filed under the name uncultured bacterium. RNAcentral describes it as "partial 16S ribosomal RNA". It matches the Rfam family "Bacterial small subunit ribosomal RNA", at positions 28 to 507 of the family's 1533-position model. The record is from RNAcentral.